UGGGGAAUAUUGGACAAUGGGGGCAACCCUGAUCCAGCAAUGCCGCGUGUGUGAAGAAGGCCUUCGGGUUGUAAAGCACUUUUAUCGGGAACGAAACAUUGUCGGCCAAUACCCGGCAAGGCUGACGGUACCCGAGGAAUAAGCACCGGCUAACUCCGUGCCAGCAGCCGCGGUAAUACGGAGGGUGCAAGCGUUAAUCGGAAUUACUGGGCGUAAAGCGUGCGCAGGCGGUUUGUUAAGUCUGCUGUGAAAUCCCCGAGCUCAACUUGGGAAUUGCAGUGGAUACUGGCAAGCUGGAGUACGGUAGAGGAAGGUGGAAUUCCCGAUGUAGCAGUGAAAUGCGUAGAGAUCGGGAGGAACACCAGUGGCGAAGGCGGCCUUCUGAACCAGUACUGACGCUCAUGCACGAAAGCGUGGGGAGCAAACA
Molecule: ribosomal RNA, 427 nt
Filed under: uncultured bacterium
Lineage: Bacteria
Description: bacterial SSU rRNA
Rfam family: Bacterial small subunit ribosomal RNA
Source: RNAcentral